Molecule: transfer RNA, 102 nt
Filed under: Porphyra umbilicalis (laver)
Lineage: Eukaryota; Rhodophyta; Bangiophyceae; Bangiales; Bangiaceae
Description: tRNA-His
Rfam family: tRNA (bases 29-102)
About the family: Transfer RNA (tRNA) molecules are approximately 80 nucleotides in length. Their secondary structure includes four short double-helical elements and three loops (D, anti-codon, and T loops). Further hydrogen bonds mediate the characteristic L-shaped molecular structure. tRNAs have two regions of fundamental functional importance: the anti-codon, which is responsible for specific mRNA codon recognition, and the 3' end, to which the tRNAs corresponding amino acid is attached (by aminoacyl-tRNA synthetases). tRNAs cope with the degeneracy of the genetic code in two manners: having more than one tRNA (with a specific anti-codon) for a particular amino acid; and 'wobble' base-pairing, i.e. permitting non-standard base-pairing at the 3rd anti-codon position.
Source: RNAcentral
UCCCCGCAAAGUAAAACUUUCAAUUAAGACGAGGAGAGCUCGGUCUGGUAGAGCGAUAAACUGUGACUUUAUAGGUCAUGGGUUCAAGUCCCAUUCCUCGUC